Bombyx mori (domestic silkworm) is the source of this 84-nucleotide non-coding RNA. NCBI's taxonomy places the organism in Eukaryota, Metazoa, Arthropoda, Insecta, Lepidoptera, Bombycidae. The record is from Rfam.
UUAACUCAAAUUUGUAUGAAGUUAGAACGUUUGCCUGCGUUUGCCGCUAGGGGCGCUGUACCAACUGCAUACGAAUUAAAAAAA